GAGAGAGAGAGAGAGAGAGAGAGAGAGAGAGAGAGAGAGAGAGAGAGAGAACUGUAGGGAAUUUUCAUCAUCCAUGGCAGCUGUUGCAGAGAAUGCGAUCAGCUCCGACGAUAAGUUUUUACGUGGUUCUGCUGUAAUUUCUUCCAUGGCUGGUGGUGGUUCUGCAGGUGUGCAGAAAUUACACCUCAAACAGAGUACCAUCUGCUGUACUCUUAUUUGCAGGAUCUGGUUUUGAGUGUUGCAGGAUCAUCUGCUGAAGCUACACUGGCUGGUUCUCACCCCAAAGGUUGGUAUAGGUGUCACUUUAGGGGGAGUCCACCAGAUAAGUUUAUAUUUUUCUUUUUGGUUGCAUUUGAGUGUCUAAUUACUUGCUUGCCUUCUAUUCUUUUCUUUUCUUUUUUCUUUUUUUCUUUUAAUUGUAAUUCUCUUUGAUUGUUUUAGAUCAAUAAGGGACUCUCCCGCAUUCAAGGAACGGUUUCAACAUGACAAUGACGGUAAGCUUAACUCUAAAUAUCACCUUUAUAAUCAGAAUUUGUGCUCUUUAUUGUCUGCUUUUGAACAUAAUUUUUAUAUAAUUGACACCUUUUAUCUCGGAAUAUGAUCUAUGAAGUAGCAUAUGAACGCAAUCCCCAUCAAAAUCCACACCUAGGGGAGCGCAAAUAAGAGGAUUGAUCUUAACAGUAUGGUCGUCAUGCACAUAAACAGAAAAUGCUUGCAAUGAAUGUUUAUGAGUACUAGGUGGCCUAUUGAUGAAAACAAUGUCUCUGUCCAUAAAUAACGCCUGUUUAUGAUUUGACCAACUUUCAAAUAUGUGUCCUUUUGGACCUUCCCUGAUUGCAUAAGUGGUUGAAGCAUCUCUAUAUGUUACACA
Molecule: long non-coding RNA, 871 nt
Organism: Magnolia sinica
Lineage: Eukaryota; Viridiplantae; Streptophyta; Magnoliopsida; Magnoliales; Magnoliaceae
Exons: 3
Source: RefSeq, a predicted model, not a curated record